This 305-nucleotide ribosomal RNA is filed under the name uncultured bacterium. RNAcentral describes it as "bacterial SSU rRNA". It matches the Rfam family "Bacterial small subunit ribosomal RNA", at positions 335 to 657 of the family's 1533-position model. The record is from RNAcentral.
GGACCUACGGGGCGCAGCAGUGGGGAGUAUUGCACAAUGGGCGAAAGCCUGAUGCAGCAACGCCGCGUGAGCGAUGAAGGCCUUCGGGUCGUAAAGCUCCGUCCUCAAGGAAGAUAAUGACGGUACUUGAGGAGGAAGCCCCGGCUAACUACGUGCCAGCAGCCGCGGUAAUACGUAGGUGGCGAGCGUUAUCCGGAAUGAUUGGGCGUAAAGGGUGCGCAGGCGGUCCUGCAAGUCUGGAGUGAAACGCAUGAGCUCAACUCAUGCAUGGCUUUGGAAACUGGAGGACUGGAGAGCAGGAGAGG